GCCGAGGUAGCUCAGUCGGUAGAGCGCCAGACUGAAAAUCUGGGCGUGGGCGGUUCGAUUCCGUCCCUCGGCACCA
RNAcentral lists this transfer RNA (76 nucleotides) under Candidatus Adiutrix sp. RNAcentral describes it as "tRNA-Phe". It matches the Rfam family "tRNA". From Rfam's summary of the family: Transfer RNA (tRNA) molecules are approximately 80 nucleotides in length. Their secondary structure includes four short double-helical elements and three loops (D, anti-codon, and T loops). Lineage: Bacteria; Pseudomonadati; Thermodesulfobacteriota; Desulfarculia; Candidatus Adiutricales; Candidatus Adiutricaceae. The record is from RNAcentral.